Molecule: long non-coding RNA, 753 nt
Organism: Oncorhynchus keta (chum salmon)
Lineage: Eukaryota; Metazoa; Chordata; Actinopteri; Salmoniformes; Salmonidae
Exons: 3
Source: RefSeq, a predicted model, not a curated record
GUUUACUUCCCAAGACUUCAGAAGGUAGUUUAAGGUGUUUGUUUUUAAAUAAAUAGUGGUGAAGUGUGAAUUCUUUCUUUAUUUUCUUUCUUUAAAGGGUGUACAUGAUGGUAACAGUGUGUUUUCAGUGUGAAUUCUUUCUUUAAAGGGUGUACAUGAUGGUAACAGUGUGUUUUCAGUGUGAGUUCUUUCUUUAAAGGGUGUACAUGAUGGUAACAGUGUGUUUUCAGUGUGAGUUCUUUCUUUAAAGGGUGUACAUGAUGGUAACAGUGUGUUUUCAGUGUGAGUUCUUUCUUUAAAGGGUGUACAUGAUGGUAACAGUGUGUUUUCAGUGUGAGUUCUUUCUUUAAAGGGUGUACAUGAUGGUAACAGUGUGUUUUCAGUGUGAGUUCUUUCUUUAAAGGGUGUACAUGAUGGUAACAGUGUGUUUUCAGUGUGAGUUCUUUCUUUAAAGGGUGUACAUGGUGGUAACAGUGUGUUUUCAGUGUGAGUUCUUUCUUUAAAGGGUGUACAUGGUGGUAACAGUGUGUUUUCAGUGUGUGCUUCAACCAGUCAAUAGUUCUGAUGGAUAAAACAUUUUUAAAAAGCUUAACACUUUCAGAUGUUCGUUUUUAUUUCAUUAGUGCUGUCACGUCAUACUUAAGACCAUUCUCUUAACUUAAAAUACCUUGUAUUUAGCAAACCAUUAAAGCUAUUUGUGUGUGUGUGUGUGUGUGUGUGUGUGUGUGCUCAUACGUGGGAAAAACUCCAGGU